UACGUAGGGUGCAAGCGUUGUCCGGAAUUAUUGGGCGUAAAGAGCUCGUAGGCGGUUUGUCGCGUCUGCUGUGAAAACCCGAGGCUCAACCUCGGGCCUGCAGUGGGUACGGGCAGACUAGAGUGCGGUAGGGGAGAUUGGAAUCCUGGUGUAGCGGUGGAAUGCGCAGAUAUCAGGAGGAACACCAAUGGCGAAGGCAGAUCUCUGGGCCGUAACUGACGCUGAGGAGCGAAAGCAUGGGGAGCGAACAGG
Molecule: ribosomal RNA, 252 nt
Filed under: uncultured bacterium
Lineage: Bacteria
Description: partial 16S ribosomal RNA
Rfam family: Bacterial small subunit ribosomal RNA
Source: RNAcentral